RNAcentral lists this long non-coding RNA (429 nucleotides) under Sus scrofa (pig). Its description in RNAcentral is "lncRNA (ENSSSCG00040011984.1)". The record is from RNAcentral. Lineage: Eukaryota; Metazoa; Chordata; Mammalia; Artiodactyla; Suidae.
GGUAGGCAGCAGCAGAAGAAAGGUAUACAGCCUCUUGCUUUAUAUCCCCUUGAAAAUAUCAAAGUGCAAGCAAAAAACACAAAGAGAGGAAACUACAGAAGCCACACGAUAGGAAGAAGCACCACGACUUCGAGCCAGAAAGUUGGGUGUUCAAGUCUUUGUUAUUACUUAUUAUUUACCAGAUGUCAUCCCACUGUUCCUGGGUCAGUGUGAUAAUGGGAGUGAUGGGGAAAGGCAAGGUGUGUUUGGGGACCUUCCCACCCACUGGAAACCGGAGGAGUAGAGAGGAAAUAUGAAGAUAAGGUGACCAGAGACGCUACUGUGACCCCAUGGAUGUACUAUCGGACUCCAGGCUCAGACAUUUACGCUUCCAUAGGUUCAGAAACAUUCCUUAAGGAUACUGCAUGGCACAAGGUAUUUGGAUGGCCG